Molecule: ribosomal RNA, 468 nt
Filed under: uncultured bacterium
Lineage: Bacteria
Description: partial 16S ribosomal RNA
Rfam family: Bacterial small subunit ribosomal RNA
Source: RNAcentral
GACGAACGCUGGCGGCGUGCUUAACACAUGCAAGUCGAACGGAAAGACCCUGCUUUUGUGGGGUGCUCGAGUGCCGAACGGGUGAGUAACACGUGAGUAACCUGCCCUUGACUUUGGGAGAACUUCAGGAAACUGGGGCUCAUACCGGAUAGGAUCUCCUGCUGCAUGUUGGGGGUUGGAAAGUUUCGGCGGUUUGGGAUGGACUCGCGGCUUAUCAGCCUGUUUGGGGGGUAGUUGCUUACCAAGGCUUUGAGGGGUAGCCGGCCUGAGAGGGUGACCGGCGACCUUGGGACUGAGAGACGGACCAGAAUCCUACCGGAGGCAGCAGUGGGGAGUAUUACACAAUGGGGGGGAGCGUGAUGCAGCAACGUCGCGUGCGGGAUACCGGCUUUCGGGUUGUAAACCGCUUUCUACUGUGACGAAGCGUGAGUGACGGUAAUGGGUAAAGAAGCACCGGCUAACUACGUG